CCUACGGGUGGCUGCAGUGGGGGAUAUUGCUCAAUGGGGGGAACCCUGAUGCAGCGACGCCGCGUGUGGGAAGACGGUCCUCUGGAUUGUAAACUACUGUCCUCAGGGACGAAAAUGACGGUACCUGGGGAGGAAGCUACGGCUAACUACGUGCCAGCAGCCGCGGUAAUACGUAGGGAGCGAGCGUUGUCCGGAAUUACUGGGGGUAAAGGGAGCGUAGGCGGGGAUGCAAGUUGGGUGUCAAAACUACGGGCUCAACUGGUAGUCGCACUCGAAACUGCAGCUCUUGAGUGAAGUAGAGGCAGGCGGAAUGCGGAGUGUAGCGGUGAAAUGCGUAGAUAUUAGGAGGAACACCGGUGGCGAAGGCGGCCUACUGGGCUUUUACUGACGCUGAGGCACGAAAGUGUGGGGAGCAAACAGGAUUAGAUACCCGGGUAGUC
This 440-nucleotide ribosomal RNA is filed under the name uncultured bacterium. Its description in RNAcentral is "partial 16S ribosomal RNA". It matches the Rfam family "Bacterial small subunit ribosomal RNA", at positions 338 to 795 of the family's 1533-position model. The record is from RNAcentral.